Molecule: ribosomal RNA, 476 nt
Filed under: uncultured bacterium
Lineage: Bacteria
Description: bacterial SSU rRNA
Rfam family: Bacterial small subunit ribosomal RNA
Source: RNAcentral
GUUUGAUCCUGGCUCAGAACGAACGCUGGCGGCAGGCCUAACACAUGCAAGUCGAACGAACCUUCGGGUGAGUGGCGCACGGGUGCGUAACGCGUGGGAAUGUACAUCUCGGUAAGGAAUAACUGCUGGAAACGGUAGCUAAUACCUUAUAAUGACUCCGGUCCAAAGAUUUAUCGCCGAGGAAUCAGCCCGCGUCGGAUUAGCUUGUUGGUGAGGUAAAAGCUCACCAAGGCGACGAUCCGUAGCUGGUCUGAGAGGAUGAUCAGCCACACUGGUACUGAGACACGGACCAGACUCCUACGGGAGGCAGCAGUGAGGAAUAUUGGACAAUGGGGGAAACCCUGAUCCAGCCAUGCCGCGUGUAUGAAGAAGGCCUUAGGGUUGUAAAGUACUUUCAAUAGUGAAGAUAAUGACGGUAGCUAUAGAAGAAGCUCCGGCUAAAUUCGUGCCAGCAGCCGCGGUAAUAAGGGCGAAUU